This 71-nucleotide transfer RNA is filed under the name Camelus bactrianus (Bactrian camel). It matches the Rfam family "tRNA". From Rfam's summary of the family: Transfer RNA (tRNA) molecules are approximately 80 nucleotides in length. Their secondary structure includes four short double-helical elements and three loops (D, anti-codon, and T loops). RNAcentral also lists the same sequence under 2 other names. The record is from Rfam by way of RNAcentral. Lineage: Eukaryota; Metazoa; Chordata; Mammalia; Artiodactyla; Camelidae.
GAGGAUAUAGCUCAGUGGCAGAGUGCAUGCUUAGUAUGCACAAGGUCCUGGGUUUAUCCCCAGUACCUCCA